RNAcentral lists this ribosomal RNA (497 nucleotides) under uncultured bacterium. Its description in RNAcentral is "partial 16S ribosomal RNA". It matches the Rfam family "Bacterial small subunit ribosomal RNA", at positions 28 to 507 of the family's 1533-position model. The record is from RNAcentral.
GAUGAACGCUGGCGGCGUGCCUAAUACAUGCAAGUAGAACGCUGAAGGAAGGAGCUUGCUCUUUCCGGAUGAGUUGCGAACGGGUGAGUAACGCGUAGGUAACCUGCCUGGUAGCGGGGGAUAACUAUUGGAAACGAUAGCUAAUACCGCAUAACAGUAGAUGUUGCAUGAUAUCUACUUAAAAGGUGCAAUUGCACCACUACCAGAUGGACCUGCGUUGUAUUAGCUAGUUGGUGAGGUAACGGCUCACCAGGGCGACGAUACAUAGCCGACCUGAGAGGGGGAGCGGCCACACUGGGACGGAGACACGGCCCAGACUCCUGCGGGAGGCAGCAGUAGGGAAUCUUCGGCAAUGGACGGAAGGCUGACCGAGCAACGCCGCGGGAGUGCAGAAGGUUUUCGGAUCGUAAAGCUCUGUUGUAAGAGAAGAACGAGUGUGAGAGUGGAAAGUUCACACUGUGACGGUAUCUGACCAGAAAGGGACGGCUAACUACGUG